This is an RNA transcript of Hordeum vulgare subsp. vulgare (domesticated barley), 2145 nucleotides long. RefSeq lists it as uncharacterized. The transcript is spliced from 4 exons. The record is from RefSeq and is a predicted model, not a curated record. Lineage: Eukaryota; Viridiplantae; Streptophyta; Magnoliopsida; Poales; Poaceae.
CCUUUUUGUGUCCACAUGCCAACGUUAGGAAUUCAAAUCACCCACCCGAGUGCUACAUACACUCAGAAAAAAAUCCUGAUUCCAAAGCGGUCGGCUUUGCUCCCCUUCCCUGCUCUGCUCCGCCGGCGCUCCUCUCCUCCCCUCGCCCCGCCGGGCCGCGCGGCGAACCAAAGCGAGGCCGGAACCUGGGAUCCGCGGACGACGCGCGCCACGAUGCAGAAGCUGGCCGUCGUCGGCACCGGGGAGGGCGGCGAGGAUGAGUACGCGAUGCUGGAAACGCUCAUGAUGCAGGGGGAGUCCGCCUCGGUAGGAGCACCUCGCUUCGAUGGCAAAGACUUCCAAAUGUGGCAGGCUCGGAUGAAGACCCACCUGCAGGCCUUUAACCUUCUUGUGUGGAGCAUCGUGGAGACCGGUUUCUCUUGUGCGGAUGAAGCAAACCCAACGGCGCUCGAACUGAGGAACAUCCAUUGCAAUGCCCAAGCUAUGAACGCCAUAUACUGUGCCCUGAGUGAUGAUAAGCUCUACCGGAUCUGGCACCUUGACAGUGCUAAGGAGGUCUGGGACACUCUCCAGGUUAUACAUGAAGACACCCCAAUCGUUCGCGAGUUCAAAGUCAAACGGUUGAGGGAGAAGAUGAAGUUGUUUGCGUGGAGGAAGCACGAGCUGCCCACUGUCAUGUAUGUGAGGCUCGAGAAUUUGGCCGCUGAGAUGAGGCGCCUUGGAUGCCAGGAGGUGACAGAUUCUUAUGUUGUGAGGAAGAUGCUUUGUGCCAUGGCACCAAGGAACUCAAGCUUUGAGGCCAUCAUCCGUGAGAGGCCUAACUUUGAAGAACUCACCCCUCUGGAUGUGCUCAAUAGUUUCCAGGUCCACGACAUGUGGCAACAAGAAUCCAAAAUCAUCCGCGAGUACGAGGCGAAGGUGGACACUACCGUGCGGAGCGAGCCCUCCUACGAUGCACAUUGCUCCGGGGAAGUGCCUUACUUCGAUGGCACACACUACCUAUCAUGGCAGCAUAGGAUGAAAUUCCAUUUGCUUAGCAUUCACCCUCUUCUGUGGAGAAUUGUGGAGACUGGUUUCUCUUGUGUGGAUGAAGCAAAUCCAACAGCUCUUGAAAAGAGGAAUCGGCAGUACAACGCCCUAGCUAAUGGCGCCUUAAGUGAAGCCUUGAGUCGUGAUCAGUUCAUGAGGAUUCGCAACUAUAAGAGUGCUAAGGAGAUUUGGGAUGCUCUCCGAAAAUUUAAUGGAGCACUUCGUGAGUCAAAGCUUGGUUUAUUGAGGAUACAUAUGGACAGGUUUGCCUUAGGAAAACAUGAGUCCCCCAAUGACAUGUAUGCAAGGCUCAAUGAUUUGGUCAAUGAGAUGAAGGGUCUUGGGUGCAAAGAGAUGACCGAUUCCUAUGUUGUGAGGAAGAUGCUUCGUGCCAUGGCACCAAGGAAUCCAAACUUGGUUUUCCUCAUCCGUGAGAAGCCUAACUUUGAACUACUCACCCCUCAGGAUGUGCUUGCAGCAUUCUUCCUCUACAAUAUGGAUCAGAAACAAUACAAAAUCUCGAGUGGCUUAUCAUCCCAUGGGCUAGGAGUGAUGUCUUGAACCAUUCAAAACUUGUAGUUCCAAACCGAUAAUAACUUCCCAAUGUAAGAAGCAUGGACGUAUCCAGGCGGCAUCAUCGAGAAAGCGGAAGAAAACUGAGGAGAUAGUAGCAAGCACCAAGCAGCCAGAUCACGACGAGAGAGAGGGCAAAUCUUCCUUGAUGCCAACCCCUCUGUAAGCUAUAACUGAGUGGUCUUCCCACUCUGCUUUGCACUUGGAGUUUGUAUCUGACCUGUGUUGAUCAUGGACCUGCUCUUGCUGUUUCUCUCCCUGCGAAUAAUUUGUCUCUGUGGAUGCUAGCUGUUGCUUAAAUGUUUCUGCUUAGCUCCCUGGGUUUUGUACACCGACGUGUUUCUAUCGCCAGCUUCACAGUUCCGAUAGCUUCGUCAUCUCUGCUUUUGCAUAAUUCUGCUUGUAAGAUGUGGACGAAUUAUAUAAGCUUCCUUGGAUAUAAUUUGUCGUAUCAUCUUGGUCGCUACACUUUGUGAGAUAUUUUUGCUGUUGGGAUGAAGUACUCCGAUCUUGAAUUAUAAAAGCUGCUGCUUGGAUGAUGAA